Molecule: ribosomal RNA, 301 nt
Filed under: uncultured bacterium
Lineage: Bacteria
Description: partial 16S ribosomal RNA
Rfam family: Bacterial small subunit ribosomal RNA
Source: RNAcentral
CAGCCGCCACGGUAAUACGAAGGGUGCAAGCGUUACUCGGAAUUACUGGGCGUAAAGCGUGCGUAGGCGGUGAGUUAAGUCUGCUGUGAAGUCCCCGGGCUCAACCUGGGAAUUGCAGUGGAUACUGGGUCACUAGAGUGUGGUAGAGGAUAGUGGAAUUUCCGGUGUAGCAGUGAAAUGCGUAGAGAUCGGAAGGAACAUCUGUGGCGAAGGCGACUAUCUGGGCCAACACUGACACUGAGGCACGAAAGCGUGGGGAGCAAACAGGAUUAGAUACCCGUGUAGUCCCUGUCUCUUAUAA